This 72-nucleotide transfer RNA is filed under the name Patescibacteria group bacterium. RNAcentral's name for it is "tRNA-Lys". It matches the Rfam family "tRNA". Rfam says of the family: Transfer RNA (tRNA) molecules are approximately 80 nucleotides in length. Their secondary structure includes four short double-helical elements and three loops (D, anti-codon, and T loops). Further hydrogen bonds mediate the characteristic L-shaped molecular structure. tRNAs have two regions of fundamental functional importance: the anti-codon, which is responsible for specific mRNA codon recognition, and the 3' end, to which the tRNAs corresponding amino acid is attached (by aminoacyl-tRNA synthetases). tRNAs cope with the degeneracy of the genetic code in two manners: having more than one tRNA (with a specific anti-codon) for a particular amino acid; and 'wobble' base-pairing, i.e. permitting non-standard base-pairing at the 3rd anti-codon position. The record is from RNAcentral.
GGGGCUGUAGCUCAGUGGUAGAGCAGUUGCCUUUUAAGCAAUUGGCCGAAGGUUCGAUCCCUUCCAGCCUCA